This 301-nucleotide ribosomal RNA is filed under the name uncultured bacterium. RNAcentral's name for it is "partial 16S ribosomal RNA". It matches the Rfam family "Bacterial small subunit ribosomal RNA", at positions 509 to 807 of the family's 1533-position model. The record is from RNAcentral.
CAGUAGCCGCGGUAAUACAGAGGAUGCAAGCGUUAUCCGGAAUGAUUGGGCGUAAAGGGCGCGCAGGCGGUUUCUUAAGUCUGAUGUGAAAGCCCCCGGCUCAACCGGGGAGGGUCAUUGGAAACUGGGAAACUUGAGUGCAGAAGAGGAGAGUGGAAUUCCACGUGUAGCGGUGAAAUGCGUAGAGAUGUGGAGGAACACCAGUGGCGAAGGCGACUCUCUGGUCCGUAACUGACGCUGAGGAGCGAAAGCGUGGGGAGCGAACAGGAUUAGAUACCCCGGUAGUCCCUGUCUCUUAUAC